AGUGAACGCUGGCGGUAGGCCUAACACAUGCAAGUCGAACGGCAGCACAGUAAGAGCUUGCUCUUACGGGUGGCGAGUGGCGGACGGGUGAGGAAUACAUCGGAAUCUACUUUUUCGUGGGGGAUAACGUAGGGAAACUUACGCUAAUACCGCAUACGACCUACGGGUGAAAGCAGGGGAUCUUCGGACCAUGCGCGAUUGAAUGAGCCGAUGUCGGAUUAGCUAGUUGGCGGGGUAAAGGCCCACCAAGGCGACGAUCCGUAGCUGGUCUGAGAGGAUGAUCAGCCACACUGGAACUGAGACACGGUCCAGACUCCUACGGGAGGCAGCAGUGGGGAAUAUUGGACAAUGGGCGCAAGCCUGAUCCAGCCAUACCGCGUGGGUGAAGAAGGCCUUCGGGUUGUAAAGCCCUUUUGUUGGGAAAGAAAAGCAGCAGGUUAAUACCCCGCUGUUCUGACGGUACCAAAAGAAUAAGCACCGGCUAACUUCGUG
RNAcentral lists this ribosomal RNA (492 nucleotides) under uncultured bacterium. RNAcentral's name for it is "partial 16S ribosomal RNA". It matches the Rfam family "Bacterial small subunit ribosomal RNA", at positions 29 to 507 of the family's 1533-position model. The record is from RNAcentral.